GACGAACGCUGGCGGCGUGCCUAAUACAUGCAAGUAGAACGCACAGUUUAUACCGUAGCUUGCUACACCAUAGACUGUGAGUUGCGAACGGGUGAGUAACGCGUAGGUAACCUGCCUGGUAGCGGGGGAUAACUAUUGGAAACGAUAGCUAAUACCGCAUAAUAUUGAUUAUUGCAUGAUAAUUAAUUGAAAGGUGCAAUUGCACCACUACCAGAUGGACCUGCGUUGUAUUAGCUAGUAGGUGAGGUAACGGCUCACCUAGGCGACGAUACAUAGCCGACCUGAGAGGGUGAUCGGCCACACUGGGACUGAGACACGGCCCAGACUCCUACGGGAGGCAGCAGUAGGGAAUCUUCGGCAAUGGACGAAAGUCUGACCGAGCAACGCCGCGUGAGUGAAGAAGGUUUUCGGAUCGUAAAGCUCUGUUGUAAGAGAAGAACGGGUGUGAGAGUGGAAAGUUCACAAUGUGACGGUAUCUUACCAGAAAGGGACGGCUAACUACGUG
Molecule: ribosomal RNA, 505 nt
Filed under: uncultured bacterium
Lineage: Bacteria
Description: partial 16S ribosomal RNA
Rfam family: Bacterial small subunit ribosomal RNA
Source: RNAcentral